RNAcentral lists this ribosomal RNA (351 nucleotides) under uncultured bacterium. RNAcentral's name for it is "partial 16S ribosomal RNA". It matches the Rfam family "Bacterial small subunit ribosomal RNA", at positions 338 to 681 of the family's 1533-position model. The record is from RNAcentral.
CCUACGGGAGGCAGCAGUGGGGAAUUUUGCGCAAUGCUCGUAAGAGUGACGCAGCGACGCCGCGUGAAUGACGAAGGCCUUCGGGUCGUAAAGUUCUUUCGACAGGGAAGAAAAUGCAUAUAAGUAACUGUGUAUGUAUUGACGGUACCUGUAUAAGCAGCCCCGGCUAACUCCGUGCCAGCAGCCGCGGUAAUACGGAGGGGGCGAGCGUGGUUCGGAGGGACUGGGCGUAAAGAGCACGUAGGUGGUAUUGUAAGUAAUUAGCUAAAGAAUAGAGCUGAACGUUAGUAAGGCGAGUGAUACUAUAAUACUAGAGUAUCAGAGAGGAUUGCAGAAUUCCUGGUGUAGCGG